Fukomys damarensis (Damara mole-rat) is the source of this 1749-nucleotide long non-coding RNA. RefSeq lists it as uncharacterized. The record is from RefSeq and is a predicted model, not a curated record. The transcript has 3 exons. NCBI's taxonomy places the organism in Eukaryota, Metazoa, Chordata, Mammalia, Rodentia, Bathyergidae.
ACCGGCUUCCUUCUCUCCAUGCAGCUCCUUCCGGGAUGCUGGGGUCUCCACGCCGUGAUGCUGUGUGCAGUGCUAUUGUCCAGUGGAUCCCACUCCUGGGGUUCAGUGUGGUACCUGGGUGUGCUGGGGACUUUGAACCAGAAGGAACCGGAAGGCCACAGGAGAGAGGCGUGGAAGCUGGGGUUUCUCUCCCCAAGGAGCUCCUGACCCUGCAUGUCAUCUCCUCAAUCGAUUCUCCCGAGUCCGACGUGUUCCUGGGGUUUCUGUCUCUUUAAAAGCCAAUCAGCAGCCUCCUUCCUUCCCACUGAGUUCCGCCCUAAACAGUGUCAAAUGCCUUGAAGUUGUCGUUGAAUAAGACAUCUUCAUUGCAAAAACUCAGAAGACACAGAAACACAGGAGGAAACGCCCAUUGCUUUAACACCCGGCAGACUGGGCCACCACCCCCGGCUGCUCCGACUCCUUAGGGGGAUGGGCAGAGUUCAGUGAGCAGGACCCAGGUCCAGGAGGCCACCGCUCCACUCCGCCAAGGCCAAGGGGGUAGAAACGGGGACAAGGGCAGAGCUACGCCAGCCACUGCCAGAACCUGGGUGUCCGCAGUCAGGGCUUCAGAAGCUGUCCAGGAACUGACAGAGAGCAGGGCCCACAUAUCCCUGCGGCACCCAGAGGCCAGGCUCGAAUCACAAAGCACCGACUCCAUCAGUCAGCAAGUCACCGGCCUAUUCUUACAAGGGACCGGUCCCAUCUCCUUGUUACCACACAGAGGCGCGAUUUUGUGCACAACGUCCCUCAUUUUCCCUUCGGACCUUCAGGAGGCUGCAGAUGUUAAGCCCACAAGAAGCUGGAAGAGGUGUGGAGCCCAAGGCAGGGGGAGAUGCUGGAAUCUGCAGGAGCGCAGCCGCCUUGCUCAGGGCCCUGGCUGGACACCGCAGAAGUCGUGAAAAGCACAGGGUGCCCACCAAAGCCCGGGUCCCCCAGAGAAUUUAGGAGUUGGGAGGUGAAGAGGCACCCAAGGGUGCGAGAGAGGAGAGCUGGGCAGCACCUCACAGGGCCACUCGGGGAAGAAGAGGAGGGACCGGACAUCCGUAGUAUGGCCGGGAGGGAGGUAGAGGAUGGUUCAGUUACACGCCACGGGCAAGAGCCAGACAGACUGCAGGGUGGGGAAUAAACACAGGCAUCUCUGGGGAGGGUGGCUGUGGGUGACGGAGCGGCAGAUCCCAUGGUCCUGGCUGUCCCCAGGGCAGCUCCUCCUGCUGAGGGCAGGCACCGCACUGCUCCUGCCACCCCAGGGGUACUGAGUCCUGGGCCCAGGCUCACUGUGAGGGGAGAUCGAGUAUCCACCGGACCCUUGGUAUCUACGCUCAGAUGGAAGCACUCAGACCCCUCCAACAAAGGCUUCCUGGGGCUCAGGGUGGGUACAGAGAGGAGGGUGAUGGUUACCAUGUCACCCAGGGCAGGGCUUCCAGACACAGACAUGCCCCUACUGUAACAGCAGGUGUGGGCAGUGCCCUUUCCUCGGCUGUGCCGGUGACUGGCCUGGCCCUGUGGUGUCCACUGAGGGUCCCAGCUGUGGCCUAGGCAUCCUUCAGACGUGGCCUUGUGUCUUCUCCGUGAGAUGUGGAGGGAAUGUGGCUCUGCUGCACUUAGGGUGCUGACCACAAGCCCGGUACAGGCUGGCCGCACUGCUCAGCCGAUAAAAUGAAGACUGAAGCAGUUAAUUCCACAGCCCACUGCCAGCCUGAGAGCUCUGAU